Molecule: long non-coding RNA, 743 nt
Filed under: Phoenix dactylifera (date palm)
Lineage: Eukaryota; Viridiplantae; Streptophyta; Magnoliopsida; Arecales; Arecaceae
Description: long non-coding RNA (PDAC_LNC018557)
Source: RNAcentral
UCCUUUACAAGCAAUAUGCCGCUAGAGCAAAUCAUUAUCAUUCUUUACACUCAUGUUGAUAAAAAUCAUAACAUGGAAUUCAAUUCAUUUUGCAUGUAUCACAAGAGCUAUGAAAACAUAAUAUGUGCACAACUAUGAAUUAUGUGACUGACAUGUACCACCCAUGUUCAUAUUUCAUAACUCAUAUCUUAGCAUGUAGUGUAAUCCCAGUAUUUUGUAGGCAUAACGGAAUAUAAAGCAUAUAUCAUCAUAUCUUGUGUAACUAGAGCAUGUCAGAUACACAUAUCGUUCUUAGCCUACAGUACAUGCAUAACAUGUUAAAUUUCAUGUAUGAUCCAUAAAGAUAAGGGCAGGCUACUUACAUACAUGAUUCACAACAAGAUUAAAACCAGUUACUUACUUUCUUCACAAAUCAUGUAUACAAUUCAAAUUGUAUGGAAAACACUGGUUCAUCUUAUAAAACGUAAUACACGAUCUACGAUAAGAUUAAGGUAGAUUACUUACCUCAAUUCGCUUUCCAAAUUGCUCAAGUCCAGGUGACAAAUCCUUAAUUACCUAAAACAACAUCAUAGGGUUUACAUUAUUCCCCAUUUAUUUAUUAUAAAAUCUUUUAGUUCAUCAUACUAUGAACUUACUUGCUUGGAUCCCAUCCAAGGAUCUAGCCAAGUCCAAUUUAUCCAAUUUAGAGCCUUUGGAGCUCAGUUUGAAACCAGAUUGGGCCCACAUGGGUUGAUUGGGUUUUU